GGCCCGCACAAGCGGAGGAACAUGUGGUUUAAUUCGAUGAUACGCGAGGAACCUUACCCGGGCUCAAACGCUGUAGGAAUCCGACGAGAGGUCGACGGAGCCGCAAGGCUUACAGCGAGGUGCUGCAUGGUUGUCGUCAGCUCGUGCCGUGAGGUGUCGGCUUAAGUGCCAUAACGAGCGCAACCCCCGCGUCCAGUUGCCAGCGAGUGAAGUCGGGCACUCUGGACGGACUGCCGGCGCAAGCCGUGAGGAAGGCGGGGAUGACGUCAAAUCAGCACGGCCCUUACGUCCGGGGCUACACACGUGUUACAAUGGCGCGUCACAGAGGGGAGCCACCACGCGAGUGGGAGCGGAGCCCGAAAACGCGUCUCAGUUCGGAUUGGAGUCUGCAACCCGACUCCAUGAAGCUGGAUUCGCUAGUAAUCGCGCAUCAGCCAUGGCGCGGUGAAUACGUUCCCGGGC
This 462-nucleotide ribosomal RNA is filed under the name uncultured bacterium. Its description in RNAcentral is "bacterial SSU rRNA". It matches the Rfam family "Bacterial small subunit ribosomal RNA", at positions 918 to 1379 of the family's 1533-position model. The record is from RNAcentral.